Molecule: long non-coding RNA, 678 nt
Filed under: Lupinus angustifolius (narrow-leaved blue lupine)
Lineage: Eukaryota; Viridiplantae; Streptophyta; Magnoliopsida; Fabales; Fabaceae
Description: long non-coding RNA (LANG_LNC002425)
Source: RNAcentral
CCUUCUUGGCGGUUGAACUCUUAAUUGUUGUUCAUUCCGCUGUGAGAUUCUUGCUCUUCCACGUGUCACCAAUUGUGGCUCCUCCUCGUUUGAAUCAUCUUCAUCAACAUCUUCAACGACAACCUCAUCAUCAGUAUGUUGUAUACCAAAAAUAUUUGUAGACGGCAUAGUAGGACGAUAAUAUUGUUGAGGAUCAUAUGCCGAGAAUGGUGUAGUUGAACUAGUAGCAAACAUUGUUGGUAUUGGGUUUUGAGAACUUGAUGAGAAAUAAUUGUAUGGGGAAUCAUAAUUUGAAAACCCAUAUUGUUGUUGUUGUUGUUGUUAAUGUUGAGUAACUGAUGAAGUAUGUCCUUGAUAAUGACUAUCCACUAGAGUUUGUUGUGGAGAGUCAGUUUCCGGUAUAUCAUAAUGAUGAGUAGGAUGAGCAUCAUCAAUGUGGGUAGAGUAUGCAUUGGGGUAUAGUUCAGCCAAUGCUCCCAUCAUUUCACGUCCCGAUGAGAAGACGUCACAUAAAGAUUGUGUGGGAUUAAUAAGUGAAGCUGAAGGACGACUCUGAUCACAAAUUCUUUUUGCAAAAGUGUACUGAAAAAUUAAAGAAAAUUAGAAUUAAAUAAUAUAAUUACAAAGGAAGUGUAAUUUAUAAUUUUGUUUACCGUUGCAUCAGAGUGUGCUCCACCU